GCAGAAGCUCUGCCAUGCAGGAUGAAUAGCUGACAAACAACAAAACCAUGAAAGGAUGAAAGAUGAGAGGGUGAGUGUCAAAAAUGCUUUGCUGCAAAAGAGCCAUUGGAGAACGUGCAACCAAAUGGAGAAGAGUGAAAGUGAUGAUUGGGCGUUUAGAAAAUCUACCUGAAUGAAUGAAUGAGGAGAGAAGUGAUGGAGUGAAUGAGCGUGGUGUGGAGAGACAAGGCUGCUCCCUGUGGGCUAUGCGGCUAAAUCUAUUGAGCUUGAUUGUGACCGAUGUAUGAAAGCAGAAACUCCAGGUUUGCGUGGUCAAGGGAUCAUUGAGCUAUAGAGGGGCAGAGAAGAGUUUAGGGUCUAGUACUAAUAGAGCAUGAAUGAAUACAGAAGAGGCCGGGCCACUGUGAAAAACAAAGAGUGAGAAAAUGUGAGAUUGCUGGUACGAAAGGUCAAAAGUGUGAGGUGAAGGUGGAAAUGCUCUGGAGUGAGAGGUGCCUGGGUAAAGAUAUCUGUCAAUACACCCAAAUGAGAAAGCAGAAUGGGAAACAUUAAAGGAUGGGCUGCUGAGCAAAGGGAGAAAACAAAGAUUUUAGAAGACAAGGAGAUAGAGUGGCUCUAGGGAACCACCGAGGUAGAGACAGGGACAUAUUGAUAGGACUAGUGAGAUCUGGCUGCUAUAAAUACCACCUGAGCAUCAGACAUUUGUGUGAAAUAAGAUGUUGAAUGGGACUUGGAUGUGUAGAACAAGGUUAACUGUGUGUGAUGGAUAAUGGGCCAUAUCCAGAAUAUGAGAGAUGAGUGGCUAAAGAGAAAGAGAGAGCGAACUGUGAAUUCCAGAUGGGGUGAAGGUGAGAAUGUGAGACAGAGGCCGAAAGACAGGAGUGAAAGGAGAGACCCAACCUCUGAUACUUAAGGGAACAGUCAAAUUCCAAUAAAACAUAAGCAUGAAUGGAGCGAGGAAUGCAAUGUGAGAUGACUGAAUGUGGGAGCACGAAAGACAGUAGAAUGAUCUGUGAGACUGCAUGACAGAAAAACAUUGGGAGAAGAACAGUGAGAAAGGGGAAAUGAAUGAGAACACACGUUAACAGACUCACAGGUAUAGAAAAGGAGAUAUAUCUGCAGGGGAUCCCAAUGGGUACUUAGAAUAAAGGAAGUAGAUUGUGGUCAUAUACAGGUAGCAAAAGUCAAGACACUUAGAAGAGAACCCAAGAGUUAAAUCAAUGGAGAAAGAGGGAAAGAUAACACUGGAUAGCAAGUGAGUAAGAGAUAUCUAGAAAUGGAGACAUAUCGAAUGUAAGAUUUGUAGCUGCAGAUCGUGAGACAGUGAGGUGAGUAGGAAAGCCCAAGAAAUCAAGUGGGAAAGGUGGAGAAAAUAGAGAUUACAGGGACUGUGAAAAAGUCUCGAUGCUGAAUUGGGAGGGAAAGACUCAGGGUCCUAGAGGAAGGUGAAUCAAGAGCAGUUUGAGAGAUGACUGUGUCCUAGGAAACAUCCCUGAUGGAGAGAGAAGGCCCAGACAGAUGGAAAGGAACAAGUGGGACAAGUAUAGAAACAGACAUUGAGGGAUGAAUUGAUAUACUGGGAGGUCAGAAUUGAAUGGAUAAAGAGAGGUAGGAAGAGGAGAGGAGCUUAAGAAAAUAAGAGAGUGAGAGGAUGAAGAUGGGUGACCGAAUGUCAGACACAAAAGAAUGAAUGGAGAGACCCAAACUCUGAUACAUGAGUGACUGUCAAAUCUUGUUGAGAAAGAAUGCAUGAAUGACAUGGGAUAUUCAGUGUGAGAUGGCUGAACUGAGGAGACAAAUGCAAAGAAAAACGGUUGGCCAGAUUGCCUGAGAGAGGGAGAAAGGAAUCCAUGUUAAGGCGUAGACUGGGGGAAAUGGAUGAAAUAGAUACUCGAGUGAUGUGAAAAGAAUGGGUAAAGAGGUAUAAGGAGCUAAGAAACCUGAAUGUCUAGAACUCAGAGAAAGAAAAGAAAAGCAAAAGAGAUGUGGACACUGAGAGAAAUCCAACUAGAGAUAGUGAGAAAUAGGAGAUGGAUGGAGAAAGACAUCAAAAGCAUGAGAAAUGUAUGAAGGGAGUGAGUGAUGUGUGGAAAUAACCCUGUCACGCACAGAAAAGAUAUUUGGCUAGAAAUAAGUGUGCUUUGCUGUGUGUGUGUGUGGGGGGGGGUGGUAUGUGCUUGUGUGUGUAUGCAUAUGUGUCUGUGCGUGGGUGUGGGUAUGUGCGUGCGUGUGUAUGAAAGCAGAAGCCUAAGCCAUGCAGGAUGAAUAGCUGACAAACAACAAAACCAUGAAAGGAUGAAAGAUGAGAGGGUGAGUGUCAAAAAUGCUUCGCUGCAAAAGAGCCAUUGGAGAACGUGCAAUGUAAAUGGUGAAGAGUGAAAGUGAUGAUUGGGCGUUUAGAAAAUCUACCUGAAUGAAUGAAUGAGGAGAGAAGUGAUGGAGUGAAUGAGCGUGGUGUGGAGAGACAAGGCUGCUCCCUGUGGGCUAUGCGGCUAAAUCUAUUGAGCUUGAUUGUGACCGAUGUAUGAAAGCAGAAACUCCAGGUUUGUGUGGUCAAGGGAUCAUUGAGCUAUAGAGGGGCAGAGAAGAGUUUAGGGUCUAGUACUAAUAGAGCAUGAAUGAAUACAGAAGAGGCCGGGCCACUGUGAAAAACAAAGAGUGAGAAAAUGUGAGAUUGCUGGUACGAAAGGUCAAAAGUGUGAGAUGUGUGAAGGUGGAAAUGCUCUGGAGUGAGAGGUGCCUGGGUAAAGAUAUCUGUCAAUACACCCAAAAUGAGAAAGCAGAAUGGGAAACAUUAAAGGAUGGGCUGCUGAGCAAAGGGAGAAAACAAAGAUUUUAGAAGACAAGGAGAUAGAGUGGCUCUAGGGAACCACCGAGGUAGAGACAGGGACAUAUUGAUAGGACUAGUGAGAUCUGGCUGCUAUAAACACCACCUGAGCAUCAGACAUUUGUGUGAAAUAAGAUGUUGAAUGGGACUUGGAUGUGUAGAACAAGGUUAACUGUGUGUGAUGGAUAAUGGGCCAUAUCCAGAAUAUGAGAGAUGAGUGGCUAAAGAGAAAGAGAGAGCGAACUGUGAAUUCCAGAUGGGGUGAAGGUGAGAAUGUGAGACAGAGGCCGAAAGACAGGAGUGAAAGGAGAGACCCAACCUCUGAUACUUAAGGGAACAGUCAAAUUCCAAUAAAACAUAAGCAUGAAUGGAGCGAGGAAUGCAAUGUGAGAUGACUGAAUGUGGGAGCACGAAAGACAGUAGAAUGAUCUGUGAGACUGCAUGACAGAAAAACAUUGGGAGAAGAACAGUGAGAGAAGGGGAAAUGAAUGAGAACACACGUUAACAGACUCAAAGGUAUAGAAAAGGAGAUAUAUCUGCAGGGGAUCCCAAUGGGUACUUAGAAUAAAGGAAGUAGAUUGUGGUCAUAUACAGGUAGCAAAAGUCAAGACACUAUUAGAAGAGAACCCAAGAGUUAAAUCAAUGGAAAGAGGGAAAGAUAACACUGGAUAGCAAAAGUGGUAGAUAUCUAGAAAUGGAGACAUAUCGAAUGUAAGAUUUGUAGCUGCAGAUCGUGAGACAGUGAGGUGAGUAGGAAAGCCCAAGAAAUCAAGUGGGAAAGGUGGAGAAAAUAGAGAUUACAGGGACUGUGAAAAAGUCUCGAUGCUGAAUUGGGAGGGAAAGACUCAGGGUCCUAGAGGAAGGUGAAUCAAGAGCAGUUUGAGAGAUGACUGUGUCCUAGGAAACAUCCCUGAUGGAGAGAGAAGGCCCAGACAGAUGGAAAGGAACAAGUGGGACAAGUAUAGAAACAGACAUUGAGGGAUGGAUUGAUAUACUGGGAGGUCAGAAUUGAAUGGAUAAAGAGAGGUAGGAAGAGGAGAGGAGCUUAAGAAAAUAAGAGAGUGAGAGGAUGAAGAUGGGUGACCGAAUGUCAGACACAAAAGAAUGAAUGGAGAGACCCAAACUCUGAUACAUGAGUGACUGUCAAAUCUUGUUGAGAAAGAAUGCAUGAAUGACAUGGGAUAUUCAGUGUGAGAUGGCUGAACUGAGGAGCACAGGGAAGAGAAGCAAAACUGAGGAGACAAAUGCAAAGAAAAACAGUUAUUCAGAUUGCCCGAGAGAGGGAGAAAGUAAUCCAUGUUAAGGCGUAGACUGGGGUAAUGGAUGAAAUAGAUACUGGAGUGCUGUGAAAAGAAUGGGUAAAGAGGUAUAAGGAGCUAAGAAACCUGAAUGUCUAGAACUCAGAGAAAGAAAGCAAAAGAGAUGUGGACACUGAGAGAAAUCCAACUAGAGAUAGUGAGAAAUAGGAGAUGGAUGGAGAAAGACAUCAAAAGUAUGAGAAAUGUAUGAAAAGAGAGAGCAAGAGAGUGAGUGAUGUGUGGAAAUAGCCCUGUCACGCACAGAAAAGAUAUUUGGCUGGAAAUAAGUGUGCUUUGCUGUGUGUGUGUGUGUGUGGGGGGGUGGUAUAUGCGUGUGUGUGUAUGCCUAUGUGUCUGUGCGUGUGUUCGUGCACGUGCGUGUGUGGGUAUGUGCGUGCGUGUGUGUGCAUGUGCGUGUAUGUGUAUGAAAGCAGAAGCCUAAGCCAUGCAGGAUGAAUAGCUGACAAACAACUAAACCAUGAAAGGAUGAAAGAUGAGAGGGUGAGUGUCAAAAAUGCUUCGCUGCACAAGAGCCAUUGGAGAACGUGCAAGAAAAUGGUGAAGAGUGAAAGUGAUGAUUGGGCGUUUAGAAAAUCUACCUGAAUGAAUGAAUGAGGAGAGAAGUGAUGGAGUGAAUGAGCGUGGUGUGGAGAGACAAGGCUGCUCCCUGUGGGCUAUGCGGCUAAAUCUAUUGAGCUUGAUUGUGACCGAUGUAUGAAAGCAGAAACUCCAGGUUUGUGUGGUCAAGGGAUCAUUGAGCUAUAGAGGGGCAGAGAAGAGUUUAGGGUCUAGUACUAAUAGAGCAUGAAUGAAUACAGAAGAGGCCGGGCCACUGUGAAAAACAAAGAGUGAGAAAAUGUGAGAUUGCUGGUACGAAAGGUCAAAAGUGUGAGAUGUGUGAAGGUGGAAAUGCUCUGGAGUGAGAGGUGCCUGGGUAAAGAUAUCUGUCAAUACACCAAAAUGAGAAAGCAGAAUGGGAAACAAUCAAGGAUGGGCUGCUGAGCAAAGGGAGAAAGCCAAGAUUUUAGAAGACAAGGAGAUAGAGGGGCUCUAGAGAACCACUGAGGUAGAAACAGGUACAUGUGGAUAGGGACUAGUGAGAUCUGGCUGCUACAAAUAUCACUGGAGUAUCAGAAACUUGUGUUCAAUAAGAUGUUGGGCCUUUGUAUGGGUAGAGCAAGGUUAACUGUGUGUGAUAGAUAACUGGCUAUAUACAGAAGAUGAGAGGUGAGUUGCUAAAGAGAAAGAGAGAGGAGAAUAGACUGAGAAAUCCAGAUGGGGCAAAGGUGAGAAUGUGAGACCCAGAGACCACAAAGAGAGGAGUGAAAGAAGAGACCCAACCUCUGAUACUUGAGGGGACAGUCAAAUUCCAAUAAGAAAAAGAGUGAGUGAAAAGAGAAGGCAAUGUGAGGUGAUUGAAUGGGAGAGCAUGAAAGAAAGGAACAAUGACUGAUGAGAAUGAUUGAAUGAGAAACAUUGGGAGAACACAGAGAAGGAGAAAUGAAUGGGAAGACAAAUCAAUAGAGUGAAAGGUUUAGAAAAAGAUACGUCAGCAGGGGAACAUAGUGGAUCUGAAGACUGAACCAGGUAGAUUUUGUUGUUAUUCAGCUAGAGAAAUGCAAGCUACUAGUAGAAGAGGAUCCAAGACUGAAAGAGUUGGAUAAAUGGGGAAAGAGGAAAAGGGAGUCAGAGUUACAUGAAAAUGGAGAUGUACUGAGAGUUUUGUAGGUUAUGAUUGUGAGACAGAAAGGGGGGCUGGAAAGCCUAUGAAAUAAAGUAUGGAAGGUGGAGAAAAGAGAGAUAGCCAAGGUUGCGAAAAGAUCAGAAUGUCAUAAAAAAAGGAGCAGGGAAAGCUCAGGGAGAAGGAGCUGAAGCAAAAGCCAUAUGAGAAAUGAUUGUAUCCUAGGGAAAAAGAGAGGAGGGAGGGAGAGGGAGAGAGAGAGAGAGAGAGAGAGAGAGAGAGAGAGAGAGAGAGAGAGAAAGAAAGCCUUGACUGAUAGAAGGGAACAAGUGGGACAUGUAUGCAUACAGAUAUUGAGGGAGGAAUGGAUAUCCUGGGGUGUUGAAAUUCAAUGGAUGAAGAGAAAUUAGGAGAGGAGAGUGGAGUGAGAACAUGAGAGAGUGAGAAGAAGAAGAUGGGUGACUGAAUGGUAGGACCAAAGAAUGAAUGGAGAGACCCAAACUCUGAUAAAUGAAUCUGUCAAAUCUCAAUGAGAAAGAAUGCAUGAAUAGCAGGAAGGAUGCAGUGUGAGAUGCUUGAAGUAAGGAGCACAAGGACAAGAAAUAAAACUGAGGAACCAAAUGCAAGGAGAAAUAAUUACUAGGGUGCCUGAGACAGAGAGAAAGGAAUACGUGAUGAGAUCUAGACUAUGGAAUUUAGACUCUUCAGACAGAAAAGAAAGGACAGAGAUCAAGACAGUGAUAGAGAGGGGUCUGAAUGGAAACAGUGAGAAAUGAGAGAUGGAUGGAUGGAGACACAAAAAGAAUCUGCACUGUAUUAAAAGAGAGCAAAGAGUGAGUGAUGUACUGAAAGAGAGCCAUAUAUAAGAGACACUUAUUUGGAAAUACCUAUUUUGCACUGAGUGUGUGUGAAAGCAGAAGCCAUAGUAAUGAAGGCUGGAUUCCUGAAAAAAAUAUCUAAACCUUGAAAGGAGGAGAGGUUGAGGUGGCGACAGUCAAGUAUUCUAUGCUGCUAAAGAGCCACUAGAGAACAUGCAAGAAAAUAGUAUAGAGUGAAAGUGAUGAUUGCCUGUUUGCAAAAUCUACCUGAAGGAGUGAAGGAUGAGAGAAGUGAUGGACUGAAUGGUCAUGAUGUGGAGAAACAACACUGCUCCCUGUGGGCUAUGCGGCUAAAUCUAGUGAGCUGGAGUGUGACUGAUGUAUGAAAGGAGAAACUCCAGGUUUGUGUGGUCAAGGGAUCAUCCAGCUGCAGAAGGGCAGACAGUAGUUUAGGUCUAGUAUUAAUACAGCAUGAAUGAAUACAGAAGAGGCCAGGCCACUGUGAAAAAAAUUAAAUGUGUGAGAAAAUGUGAGAUUGUUGGUAUAAAAGGUCAAGCAAGUGAGAAAUGUGAGGAUGGAAAUGCUCUGGAGUGAGAGAUGCCUGGGCAGAGAUUUCUGUCAAUUUAACAAAGUCAGAAGGCAACAUGGAAAGUAAUAAAGGAUGAGCUGCUAAGCAAAGGGCUAAAGCCAAGAUUUCAGAAGACAAGGACAUAGAGUGACUCUAGGGAACCACUGAGGUAGAGACAGGUGUAUGUAGAGACUAGUGAGGGACUAGUGAGAUCUGGCUGCUAGAAAUAACACUAGAGAGUCAGAAACUAGUGUUCAAAAUAAGAUGUUGGCCUUUGUAUGUGUAGAGCAAAGUUAACUGUGUGUGAUGGGUAACUGGCUAUAUACAGAUGAGAGAUGAGUGGCUAAAGAGAAAGAGAGAGAAUGGACUGAGAAAUGCAGAUGGGGCGAAAGUGAGAAUGUGAGACCCAAAGACCACAAAGAGAGGAGUGAAAGGAGAGACCCAACCUCUGAUACUUGUGGGGACAGUCAAAUUCCAAUAAGAAAAAGGAUGAGUGGAAAGAGAAGGUAACGUGAGGUGACUGAAUGGGGGAGCAGCAAAGAAAGGAAGUAUGCUUAGUGAGACUGGAUGAAAGAGAAACAUUUGGAGAAGAACACAGAAAAGGGGAAAUAAUUGACAAGACAAGUUAACAGAGUCAAAAGUAUAGAAAAGGAGAUAUUUCUGCACAGGAGCCCAAUGAAUACUUAGAAUAAAAGAGAUAGAUGAUUCUGAUAUUCAGAAAGGAAAAGGCAAGAUAGUAGGAAAAGAGGAGCCAGAACUGAAAGAAUACAAUGAACGCAGAAAGAGGGAAAGAAAACACUAGAUGGACAGAGCUGGAAAGUGAGCGAGAGAGAGAUUAUAAUAGAGAUGUACUCAAUGAAAGAUUUGUUGUUGCAGAUCAUGACACAGUUAAGUGGUUUGGAAAGCCAAAGAAGUAAAGUAGAGAAUGUGGAAAAAUAGAGAUAGCUGAGCAUGUGAGAAGAUGAAAAUAGUGAAGAUUCAAUACUAGCAAGGAUAAGAUCAGGGAGAGGAAGCUGAAUCAAUAGCAGUAUGAGACAGGACUGUGUCCUAGGGAAAAUCCCUGAGGGAGAGAGGAGGUCUAGACAGAUUAAGGGAACAAGUGGGACAAGUACACAUAAAGAAAUUGAGGGAUGAAUGGAUAUACUGUGAGGAGAGAAUUGAAUGGAUGAAGAGAAUUAGGAAAAGGAGAGGAGAGUAAGAAAAGGAGAGAGAAAAUAAGAGUCAGAGGAUGAAGAUGGGUGACCAAAUGGCAGACAGAAAAGAAUGAAUGGAGAGACCCAAACUCUGAUACAUGAGUGACUGUCAAAUCUUGUUGAGAAGGAACGUAUGAAUGGCAAGAAAUUUGUGGUGAGAGAUGGCUGAAUGGAGGAGCACAGGGAGGAGAAGCAAAACUGAGGAGACGCAUGCAAAGAGUAAUAGUUAGACACAGUGACUGAGAGAGGGAGAAAGGAAUCCAUGUUGAGACCUAGACUGGGGGAAAUGGAUGAAAUAGACACUCAAGUGAUGUGAACGGAAUCAAUAAAGAGGUAUAAGCAGCUGAGAAACUAGAAUGUCUAGAACUCAGAGACAAAAAACAAAGGCAUGAGAGACCUAGACAGUGAGAGAGAUCCAAAUGGAGAGAGACACCAAAAGAGUGAGCACUAUGUGGAAAGAGACAGCAAGAGAGUGUGUGAUAUAUGGAAAUAACCCUGUACGCACAAAAGAAAUAUUUGACUGGUAAUAAGUAUGCUUUGCAGUGUGCGUGUGGAAGCAGAAGCCAUAGCUAUGAAGGAUGAAUAACUGAAAAACAGGAAAACAAUGAAAGGAUGAAAGGUGAGAGGAUGAGAGUCAAGUUUACCAUGCUGCUAAAAAGCCAUUGAAGAACUUACAAGAAAAUGGUGAAGAGUAAAAGUUAUGAUUGGCUGUUUGCAAACUCUACCUGAAAGAGUGAAGGAUGAGAGAAGUGAUGGACUAAAUGGGCAUGAUGUGGAGAAACAACACUGCUCCCUGUGUGCUAUGCGGCUAAAUCUAGUGAGCCUGAUUCUGACUGAUGUAUGCAAGGAGAAACUUCAUGUUUGUGUGGUCAAGGGAGCAUCAAGCUGUAGAGGGGCAGAGAAGAGUUUAGGUCUAGUACUAAUAGAGCAUGAAAGAAUACAGAAGAGGCUGGGCCACUGUGAAAACAAAAAGAGUAAAAAAUUUGGGGAUGAAUGGAUAUACUGGGAGGUCAGAAUUGAAUGGAUAGAGAAGUUGGGAGAGGAGAGUGCAGUGAGCAAGUGAGAGUGAGGGAAUGAGGAUGGGUGACUGAAUGGCAGUACAAAGAAUGAUUGGAGAGACCCAAACUCUGAUACAUGAGUGACUGUCAAAUCUUGUGAGAAAGAACACAUGAAUGGCAUAGUGCAUGCAGUGUGAUAUGGCUGAAUUGAGGAGCACUGGGAGGAGAAGUAAAACUAAGGAGCCACAUGCAAAGAGAAAUAGCCACAGUGACUGAGAAAGGGAGACAGGAAUCUAUGUUGAUGCCUAGACUAUGGGAAAUGGAUGAAUUUAGACACUUGAGAGAUAUGCAAGGAAUAGGAAAAGAGAUAUAAAGAACUGUGAACCAUGAAUGUUUAAAACUCAGAAAGGAAAAAGGAAGAUGAACCUAGAAAUUUAGAGGGGGUCUGAAUGGAGACAGUGAGAAAUAAGAAAUGGAUAGAGAGAGACACACACAAAAAGAAUGAGCAGUAUUUUUGGAAAGAGAGAGCAAGAGAGUGUAUAAUGUAUUGAAAGAGACUUGUACGCAAGCAAGAGAUACUUGGGUGGAAAUAUCUGUACGUGGCAGUGUGUGUGUGAAAGCAGGAACCAAAGCCAUGAAGGAUGAUUAGCUGCAAAAUUUCAAAACCAUGAAAGGAUGAAAGGUGAGAGGGUGAUAGACAAGCUUACCUCACUGCUAAAGAGCCAUUGGAGAACAUGUACGUAUAUGGUGAAGAGUGGAAGUGAUAAUUGGCUAUUUGCAAAAUCUAAAAGAAGGAGUGAAGGAUGAGAGAAGUGAUGUACUGAAUGAAUAUAGUGUGGAGGGAUAAAGCUGUCCCCUGGAGGCUGUGUGGCUAAAUCUAGCACGCUCAGUUGUGUCCAAUGUAUGAAAGGAGAAACUUCAUGUUUGUGUGGUCAAGGAAUCAUCAAGCUGUAGAGGGGCAGAAAAGAGUUUAGGUCUAGUACUAAUAGAGUAUGAAUGGAUACAGAAGAGGCCGGGCCAUUGUGAAAAAAAAACGAGUGAAAAAAUAAGAGAGUGAAAUGAUGAGAUUGGGUGACUGAAUGGCAGAAUAAAAGAAUGAAUGGAGAGACCCAAACUCUGAUGCAUGAGUGACUAUCAAAUCUCAAUUAGAAGGAAUGGCAAGGAGUAUGUGUUGUGAGAUGAACGUUUUUUACAUUGUGAAAACAAGAAAAUGAGUGAGAAAAUGUGAGUCUGUUGGUAUGAAAGUUCAAGACAAUGAGAGUUGAGUGGCUAAAGAGAAAGACAGAGAAAAGUGGAGUGAGAAAUCCCGAUGGGGUGAAUGUGAGAAUGUGACACACAGAGACCAGAAAGACAGCAGUGAAAGGAGACCCAACCUCUGAUACUUGAAGGAAUAGUCAAAUUUCAAUAAGAAAAAGGAGUGAAUGGUAAGAGGCAUGUAAGGAGAAAUGACUGAAUUUGAAAGCACAAAAGAAAGGAAGAACGACUGGUGAGAUUGAAUAAAAGAGAAAUAUUUGGAGAGGGACAGUGAGGGAAGGAGAAAUGAAUGGAAAGGCAAGUCAACUGAGUGAAAGGUUUAGAAAAAGAGAUAUAUCAGCAGGGGAACAUAAUGGAUCUGAAGACAAAAAGAGGUAGAUGGUGUUGAUAUUCAGGUAGGAAAAGGCAAGCUAUUAGUAGAAGAGGACCCAAGACAAAAGAAUUGGAUAAAUGGGGAAAGAGGCAAAUGCAGUGAGGGUUAUAUAGAAAUGGAGAUGAAUUGAAUAAAAGAUUUAUAGCUGCAGAUCAGGACACAAUGAAGUGGGUUGGAAAGCCUAAAAAGUAAAGUAGAGAAGGUGGAGAAAUAGAGAUAGCUGAGCCUGUGAGAAGAUGAAGAUGCUGAAGAUUUAAUAAACAAUACUAGGAGGCAUAAACUCAGGGAGAGGAAGCUGAACCAAGAACAAUAUGAGAUAUCAUUGUGUCCUAGGAAAAUCCCUGAGUAUGAGAGAAAGUGUAGAGAGAUAGAAGGGAACCAAAUGUGACAAGCAUACAUACAGAAAUUGAGGGAUGAAUGGAUAUACUGGGAGGUCAGAACUAAAUGGAUGGAGAAAUUGUGAGAGGAGAGUUGAGUGAGAAAAUGAAAGUGAGAGGAUAAGAAUGGGUGACUGAAUGGCAGAAUAAAAGAAUGAAUGGAGAGACCCAAACUCUGAUAUAUGAGGGACUGUCAAAUCUCAAUGAGAAGGAAUGCAUGAAUGGUAAGGAAUAUGUAGUGUGAGAUGGAUGAACUGAGGAGCACAAGGAAGCAAAAUCUGUAGUUAGCCAGGGUGCCUGAGCGAGAGAUAUAAGUGUACGUGUUGAGACCUUGACUGUGGGAGAUGGAUGAAUUCAGACACUUGGGUGAUGUGAAAGGAAUGAGUAAAGAGAUAUCAGAAGCUGAGAAACAUGAAGGUCAAAAAGUCAGAAACUGAAAAGAAAGGGAAGAGAGACCUAGACAGCUGGAUGAAUCCAAGUGGAGAGAGAGAGAAAUAAGAGACGGAUGGAGUGAGGCACAAAAAGUGUGAGCAUUGUAUGGAAAGAGACAGCAAGAGUGUGAGUAAUAUAUGGAACGAGACAGCAAGAGAAUGCAUAAUGUAUUGAAAGCAAUGUAUGCAUGUAAGAGAAACGUGGCUGCAAAUACCUGUACUUUGCUGUGUGUGUGUGUGUGUGUGUGUGUGUAAGAAGUUUAUCUAUGAAUUCUUGAAAAAAUAACAAGGCCUUCAAAGGAUAAGAAGUGAGUGUGUGAGAGUCAAGCAUAAUACACUGCUAAAGAGACGUUGAAGAACAUGCAAGAAAAUGGUGCAGAGUGAAAGUGAAGAUUGGCUGUCUAGAAAAUCUACCCUGAAGGAGUGAAGCAUGAGAGAAGUGAUGGACUGAAUGUGCAUGAUGUGGAGAAGCAAGGCUGCUCCCUGUGGGCUAUGCGGCUAAAUCUAGUGAGCUGGAGUGUGACCAGUGUAUGAAAGGAGAAACUACAUGUUUGUGUGGUCAAGGGAUCAUCGAGCUGUAGAGGGGCAGAGAAGAGUUUAGGUCUAGUACUAAUAGAGCAUGAAUGAAUACAGAAGAGGCCGGGCCACUGUGAAAAAAGAAAAUGUGUGAGAAAAUGGGAGAUUGUUGGUAUGAAAGUUUAAGACAAUGAGAGUUGAGUGGCUAAAGAGAAAGAGAGAAGAGUGGAGUGAGAAAUCCUGAUGGGGUGAAUGUGAGAAUGUGACACACAGAGACCAGAAAGACAGGAGUGAAAGGAGAGACCCAACCUCUGAUACUUGAAGGAAUGGUCAAAUUUCAAAAAGAAAAAGGAGUGAAUGGUAUGCAAGGAGAAAUGACUGAAUUUGAGAGCACCAAAGAAAGGAAGAGUGACUGCUGAGAAUGAAUGAAAGAGAAAUAUUUGGAGAGGGACAGUGAGGGAAGGAGAAAUGAAUGAGAGGACAAGUCAACAGAGUGAUCUAAGUUUUAGAAAAAGAGAUAUGUCAGCAGGGAACAUAAUGGAUCUGAAGACUGAACGAGAUAGACUGUGUUGAUAUUCAGGUAGCAAAAACCAAACUACUAGUACAAGAGGACCCAAAGAUGAAAGAGUUGGAAAAAUGAGGAAAGAGGCAAAGGCAGUGAGAGUUAUAUGAAAUGGAGAUGUAGUGAAUGAAAGAUUUGUAGCUGCAGAUCAUGACACAAUGAAGUGGUUUGGAAAGCCCAAAAAGUGAAGUAGAGAAAGUGGAGAAAUAGAGAUAGCUGGGCAUGUGACAAGAAGCUGGUGCUGAAGGUUUAAUAAACAAU
RNAcentral lists this long non-coding RNA (13157 nucleotides) under Sarcophilus harrisii (Tasmanian devil). Its description in RNAcentral is "lncRNA (ENSSHAG00000024599.1)". Lineage: Eukaryota; Metazoa; Chordata; Mammalia; Dasyuromorphia; Dasyuridae. The record is from RNAcentral.